This 460-nucleotide ribosomal RNA is filed under the name uncultured bacterium. Its description in RNAcentral is "partial 16S ribosomal RNA". It matches the Rfam family "Bacterial small subunit ribosomal RNA", at positions 338 to 795 of the family's 1533-position model. The record is from RNAcentral.
CCUACGGGGGGCAGCAGUGAGGAAUAUUGGUCAAUGGACGAGAGUCUGAACCAGCCAAGUAGCGUGAAGGAUGACUGCCCUAUGGGUUGUAAACUUCUUUUAUAUGGGAAUAAAACGUUCCACGUGUGGGAUUUUGUAUGUACCAUAUGAAUAAGGAUUGGCUAACUCCGUGCCAGCAGCCGCGGUAAUACGGAGGAUCCGAGCGUUAUCCGGAUUUAUUGGGUUUAAAGGGAGCGUAGGUGGAUUGUUAAGUCAGUUGUGAAAGUUUGCGGCUCAACCGUAAAAUUGCAGUUGAAACUGGCAGUCUUGAGUACAGUAGAGGUGGGCGGAAGUCGUGGUGUAGCGGUGAAAUGCUUAGAUAUCACGAAGAACUCCGAUUGCGAAGGCAGUUCACUGGACUGCAACUGACACUGAGGCUCGAAAGUGUGGGUAUCAAACAGGAUUAGAUACCCUAGUAGUC